Molecule: ribosomal RNA, 425 nt
Filed under: uncultured bacterium
Lineage: Bacteria
Description: partial 16S ribosomal RNA
Rfam family: Bacterial small subunit ribosomal RNA
Source: RNAcentral
GUGGGGAAUCUUGCGCAAUGGGCGAAAGCCUGACGCAGCCAUGCCGCGUGAAUGAUGAAGGUCUUAGGAUUGUAAAAUUCUUUCACCGGGGACGAUAAUGACGGUACCCGGAGAAGAAGCCCCGGCUAACUUCGUGCCAGCAGCCGCGGUAAUACGAAGGGGGCUAGCGUUGCUCGGAAUUACUGGGCGUAAAGGGCGCGUAGGCGGACAGUUUAGUCAGAGGUGAAAGCCCAGGGCUCAACCUUGGAAUUGCCUUUGAUACUGGCUGUCUUGAGUUUGGGAGAGGUGAGUGGAACUCCGAGUGUAGAGGUGAAAUUCGUAGAUAUUCGGAAGAAAACCAGUGGCGAAGGCGACUCACUGGCCCAAUACUGACGCUGAGGCGCGAAAGCGUGGGGAGCAAACAGGAUUAGAUACCCCAGUAGUCC